UCGAGAAUAGUCUACAAUGGUCGAAAGACUGAUAGUGCGACGCCGCGUGAACGAAGAAUCCCUUCGGGGUGUAAAGUUCUUUUUUAAUCGAGCAAUGCCUUUUAUGUGAUAAGCAUGAGAGGAGAGAUAUUAGGUUAAGAAUAAGCAACGGCUAACUCCGUGCCAGCAGCCGCGGUAACACGGGGGUUGCAAGCGUUGUCCGGAAUUACUAGGCGUAAAGGGCAGGUAGGCGGAUAUAUAAGUUUUGUGUUAAGGGCAUCGGCUUAACGGGUGUAAGGCAUAGGAUAUUGUAUAGAUGGAAUGCGGUUGAGGAAGACAGAAGUGCUGGUGUAGCGGUGGAAUGCGAAGAGAUCAGGAGGAAUACCAAAGGCGAAGGCAGUCUUCUAAGCCGAUAUUGACGCUAAACUGCGAAGGUGUGGGUAUCAAACA
This 429-nucleotide ribosomal RNA is filed under the name uncultured prokaryote. RNAcentral describes it as "bacterial SSU rRNA". It matches the Rfam family "Bacterial small subunit ribosomal RNA", at positions 355 to 774 of the family's 1533-position model. The record is from RNAcentral.